This 1839-nucleotide unclassified non-coding RNA is filed under the name Polistes fuscatus (common paper wasp). RNAcentral describes it as "tyrosine-protein kinase Fer-like, transcript variant X1". Lineage: Eukaryota; Metazoa; Arthropoda; Insecta; Hymenoptera; Vespidae. The record is from RNAcentral.
AAGUCUUUGCCAGCAAUAAGUGAUUCGAAAAAUGGAUUAAUUAGGGCCAGUAGUGAAGGUGUUACAACAAAAGCAGACAGUGUUCCCCCAGUUGUAUGUGUUGUAUAUUUUAUUUGUGUGGUGUGUGCAUGCAAGCACAUAUUGUACAUUUAUAUGCUUUAAUAUAUACGUAUUAAGUUAAAGUUAAUUAGUUAAACGAUUAUACAUACAGCACAUCUAUUUAUACUAACUGUUUUUUUUCGUCCUUUCAUAAAUUUAAACCAAAUUUUUAUAUUUUUUUCAAGAUAUAACCAAAUGCUAAUUUAGCACUAAUAAAUUCUAAUUUAAAAAAUAUGACCAAAAAGUUAAUCAAACUUUAUUAUGUCAAGCAUGUUGAAUUAUUGGUAUUUAUUUGAAGUAUAGCAUUUUUACUAAUAGUCUAGAAUUUGAACAAACACAGAACAUCUUGCAGUUAUAUAUACGAAGAGGAAAAAAACUGAUUUUAUUCAAUUUCUUUUUACUUAUUUAUAUUACAAUAAAUUAUUAGAAACGCAUGUUUGAUCCAGGUACCAUUACGUUAUGUCUCACAUUUGACCAAUAAUCAAAAAGGAAAUGGAGAUUUAAUGGAAGAAGAAUGGUUCCACGGUGUUCUACCAAGAGAAGAAGUUGUAAGAUUACUUGUUAACGAAGGAGACUUUUUAGUGCAUGAAACAACAAGAAAUGACGAAUGUCAAAUAGUUUUAUCUGUCUGUUGGGAUGGUCAUAAACAUUUUAUUGUACAAACUACGCCAGAGGGACAUUAUAGAUUUGAGGGUCCAACAUUCCCAUCAAUAAAAGAAUUAAUUCGGCAUCAGUGUUUGUCUAGCUUACCUGUAACCAGUCGUUCUGGGGCUAUUCUUAAAACACCAAUAUUACGCGAACGAUGGGAGCUUAAUAACGAUGACGUAAUUCUUCUUGAAAAAAUAGGAAAGGGUAAUUUUAGAGAUGUAUACAAAGCACAGCUUAAAAAAUACAAGACUGAAGAUGUAGCUGUAAAAACUUGUAAAGUAACAUUGCCAGAUGAACAGAAAAAGAAGUUCUUGCAGGAAGGUAGAAUUUUGAAACAGUACGAUCAUCCAAAUAUAGUUAAACUUAUUGGCAUUUGUGUUCAAAAACAGCCGAUUAUGAUAGUAAUGGAAUUGGUCGCAGGGGGAUCAUUGUUAAAAUAUUUAAGAGAUAAUGCUAGCACAAUUACACAACAAGAACAACUACGAAUGUGUAAGGAUGCAGCUGCAGGUAUGCGUUAUUUAGAAUCAAAGUAUUGCAUACACCGAGACUUAGCAGCUCGAAACUGUCUCGUAGGUUACGAGCCGAUAGUGAAAAUCUCUGAUUUUGGAAUGUCAAGAGAAGAAGAAGAAUAUAUUGUAUCGGAUGGAAUGAAACAAAUUCCUAUCAAAUGGACUGCACCAGAGGCACUUAAUUUUGGUAAAUACACUUCGCUUUGUGAUGUUUGGAGUUAUGGUGUUCUUAUGUGGGAAAUAUUUUCUAAAGGUGGUAAUCCAUACAGCGGUAUGUCAAAUUCUCAGGCACGUGAAAAAAUUGACGAAGGAUAUCGCAUGCUGGCACCAGAAAAUACUCCGGAUGAAAUAUAUCGAUUAAUGUUACAUUGUUGGGAAUAUGAACCAGAAAAACGACCACAUUUUGAUCAGAUAUAUACCGUUGUUGAAACAUUAUCACAAGCUUAUUUAUAAAUAAUUAUCAAUGGCACAUAUUUUUUUACAAAUUUACAGAAAAAUGUAGUUUUCAAAGUGCCUCAAAGUGUUGCUUUCAAGAAGCUUAAAAACAGCUUUUUUAAUCUGUCGCUAGGAUAUCUACAUUACA